AGUCGGGCGGUGAGCAUAGAGCGAACUAUUCUUUCGCCUUUUACUAAAGAAUACCGUGUGCACGUUGCAUUCACCGACAUACGCCUAUUUUUGGAGGGGUUUCACUUAAAGCGAG
This is a small nuclear RNA of Cucurbita moschata (crookneck pumpkin), 115 nucleotides long. RefSeq annotates it as U5 spliceosomal RNA. The record is from RefSeq and is a predicted model, not a curated record. Lineage: Eukaryota; Viridiplantae; Streptophyta; Magnoliopsida; Cucurbitales; Cucurbitaceae. The transcript has a single exon.